CCUACGGGCGGCAGCAGUGGGGAAUAUUGCGCAAUGGGCGAAAGCCUGACGCAGCGACGCCGCGUGAGGGAUGAAGGUCUUCGGAUCGUAAACCUCUGUCAGCAGGGAAGAACGGUCACUGUGCUAAUCAGCAGUGAAUUGACGGUACCUGCAAAGGAAGCACCGUCUAACUCCGUGCCAGCAGCCGCGGUAAUACGGAGGGUGCGAGCGUUAAUCGGAAUUACUGGGCGUAAAGGGCGCGUAGGCGGUAUGUAAAGUCAAGGGUGAAAUCCCCGGGCUCAACGUGGGAACUGCCUUUUAAACUGGCAAACGAGAGUGUGUGAGCGGAUAGUGGAAUGCCAGGUGUAGGAGUGAAAUCCGUAGAGAUC
RNAcentral lists this ribosomal RNA (368 nucleotides) under uncultured bacterium. RNAcentral's name for it is "partial 16S ribosomal RNA". It matches the Rfam family "Bacterial small subunit ribosomal RNA", at positions 338 to 698 of the family's 1533-position model. The record is from RNAcentral.